AACCCAUGGUAAGGGCACCUUCUCAAUAGAUCAUCGUAUCUCUCCCAUGCAUCAUAAAUGGUUUCUAAAUCCAUCUGUACAAAAGAAGAAAUAUCAUUCCUUAAUUU
This is a non-coding RNA of Gossypium arboreum, 107 nucleotides long. NCBI's taxonomy places the organism in Eukaryota, Viridiplantae, Streptophyta, Magnoliopsida, Malvales, Malvaceae. The record is from Rfam.